GGCGGGUCUCCCCGCAUGGCUAGGUCGUGAAUCGGGUCAGGUCCGGAAGGAAGCAGCCCCAGCGGUCGAUGCCAGUGCCGGGGUCAGGCUCGCCAUU
Molecule: non-coding RNA, 97 nt
Organism: Thiobacillus sp. GWE1_62_9
Lineage: Bacteria; Pseudomonadati; Pseudomonadota; Betaproteobacteria; Nitrosomonadales; Thiobacillaceae
Source: Rfam